CGCUUACAUGUACGAACAUCGCGCGUAACGUCAAAGCAUAAACAUUAAAAUUGAUACUACAUGUAGUACUUUUUUCUUUGAUAGGAAGACUAUUAUAGUAACACCCAACAACUUCAAACUGCUUGACGAGCGUUACAAAACCAGUGCCUUGCUUUUUUGUGAUUUUCUUUUGAGUCUAGCACCAGAAAGGUGCUGCCGCUGCAGACAUGAACUAAACACAACACUUGUUUCUUCAGUUUGCGUCUGCAUCACUUUUGCAGACUGAAACUCAUAAUUCACUUGCCCUAAAAGUAUAUAAAGCAACAGAAAAAAAUAACUCUAAAUCCUAUUGAUAUUAAAAUGUAUUUAAAACCAUUCAAGAGAGAAUCAACGAUAUAGCCGUCCAGAAGCAAGAGACUGACACUAAUCAAACUAAACAAAUUAAACUUUUUUAAUAUACUAUAUAAACCUGGUAGAAGACCCUCGUAUGUUGAUCAAUGCAAAUCCAAAUGUGAUAGAUCGACAUUAUGUAGAUUAAGGUUAAGUGCUCAUACUUUAUCUAUUGAAAGAGGGCGAUAUAUAAAAAUACCAAAGCAGAGUAGGGUAUGUCUUUGCUGCAACAAUGGAGACAUUGAAGAUGAACUACAUUUUCUUUUAAAAUGUUCAUCCUAUAACAAUAUGAGAGAUAACCUCAUCAAAAAA
This 681-nucleotide long non-coding RNA is filed under the name Mytilus galloprovincialis (Mediterranean mussel). Lineage: Eukaryota; Metazoa; Mollusca; Bivalvia; Mytilida; Mytilidae. The record is from RNAcentral.